This is a long non-coding RNA of Oreochromis aureus, 2715 nucleotides long. The record is from Ensembl. Lineage: Eukaryota; Metazoa; Chordata; Actinopteri; Cichliformes; Cichlidae.
CAUAAGCCUCCCCUCCGUCCAUUAGGUUGUAGCUGCAGAAGCCUCCUAUUGCUGCUUGUCUGAGCUACAAAAAGUGUUGCUGCUUUUUCUUCUUCUUUGAUUUGUUUUGGGUUUCGUAGCUUUACUUGUUUUUGAGACGGGAGUGUCCAAUCCAGUAACAGGCUGGGCACUAAAGCUUCCGACUCCCAGUUCUUUUCUUUUUUUGUUUUGUUUUAUUUUUCUUUUAUUUUUUGUCGUCACUCCACCAAAGUCCACAUAAAAAAAAGGAAAAAAAGGGUUACAUCAGUCAACAGGACGAUGGAGGAAGCAUCUCUACUACGUCUAAACUGUAAGCAGUAAAUUUCUUAGUUUUAAAUGUUGAAUGUUUACUGUUUAAUAAUAAGUGAUGUAGACACGAACAAGAUGUCAGGCUCCCAGCUGCUUUCUAUAAAGAUGGCUCCCUCAUCAGGAAGCAGCCUACAGGUCACAUGACCAUCCAGCAUGUUUCCAGGUCUGAUGAAGGCCUCUACAAGUGUGACAUCAGCGGUCAUGGAGAGUCUCCAUCCAGCUGGAUCACUGUCACAGGGGAACACACCACCACACCUCCACCUGCAUUUUCUGCUGGUUCGUCCCUUCUCCCUGUGUUGCUGACAGCUCAAUCAGCCUGUGUUGUAGUUAUACUGGAGUUACUGGUUCUUUUGCUGGAAUGAAACGUUCAAAGGAAACUCAAAGGUGAGACUCACAUUCCUGGGUUUUUCUUUCAGGCUUCUUUCAAUGAGCAGAGUUUCUACUUAAUAUGUUUGUGGUGGAUCAUAAAUUUGAUUAGUUUUGGAGUUGUACAUCUCUGUUCCUUAUAUUUCAUGUCAUGCUUUUAUUAUUGUUUUAUUUGUUGUUUUGACUGUUUUGCUCUAUAGAAUAUACAGUGGGAAGGUAGAGGGAGAUAAGUAGUGAAAGUUUUGCCUGGGUUGAUUGUGCGUCAAUCCAUUGGUAAUGCCUCAGGACUCCAGUAGGUGGAUUCACGCAUCUUCUCCUUCACUCAAUACAGACGAGUGAGAGCGAGAGCUGCGUGUCCGUUCCAUUCUUUCACCUCUCCUCACUAUUUCCCCUGUUUAAGGGCUCAGCAUGUUUGAGUGUUUCUGUUAGUACCUUUAUCAGUUUUAAGGAAUAUUCAAAGCAAAGAUAAAUGCACAUUUAUGAAGAGUAGCUAUUCUGAUCACAGUGUGUCCUGAUUGACCAAUUUAUUACACAUUUUGCAUAUUUACUGAGCCAAUCACAUUGCAGCAGCUCAGUGCUGUGAGACGUAACAUUUUCACAAUGUUUGAAUCUAUAUUUCACACACAUGUGCAAAAAACAAACAUUUGGGAUCAGAGGGCGGGGCUUACUUUGUGUGUCUAACAAAAAAGAAAACACAUAGGUCACAUCAGUCAAGGCAACAAUGAAGGAAACAUCUCUGCUCUUUCUGACUCCAGUGCUUUGCUGCACAACAAACCAAGCUACACCUCCACCUGCAGCCACAGCUCCAUCUGCAGCCACCUCUGCAUUGGCCUCUCUGGAUUUUUACUCUCUUCUCCCCAUGGUGGUGACUGCUGCGUUGGUCUGUCUCGUGGUUGUAGUGGUGUUAAUGUUUCUUUUGAUGGAACAAACCAGUCACAGUCAACUUGAAGAGAGGACAGACAACAUCAUUUAUGGAGAAAUCGUCACCAAAGACAAGCAACACAAAUCAGCUAAAAGAGAGUUUCCAAGAGAGCCAGACGUCAUCUACUCUGAAGUGAAGCAUUUCACCAGUCCAGCCACUGAGAUCCAGCUGCAGGUCUCUCACAGUCCUCAAAGCACCUGAUGAAGAUUUUUAUGUGAAGAACCUGCAAAAACAAAGAAAUAAACAAAUGUGCCUUCAGCAACAUGUAGUUAAGCGAGAAUAUAACUAAUAUAUUAAUCUAAUGCUGUGUAUUUAAUGCUAUUUAUAUAUUUUAUUUCUAAAUGUGGGGCCCUGCUGGUGUCUUCACAGCAGUAAUUUGGUUUCUCUGCAGGAUCAGUAAACUUUAGUCUCCCUUGCUGUUCUUCUCAUGUGGCUUUGUGAGUUUCAUAAAGACGUCUGAGAGGAAACUAUGAAUAGUUACGGCCAACAGAUACACACCUCUGUUUGGAGCAGAUAACAAAGAAAGAAACAAUCAAAACUUGACUUCAACUGCAGACUAAAGCAGGAAUCAUUCAAAGCUGGAAAAUAAAGACUGAGAACAAAGUGUGUGAGUUUGAAUAACUUUGAUUUGAAGAAAUUAAAUAUUAAAUAUGUGAGACUUUAUUUUCAGGUCAUUUGCGGCUUGUCUAGAGUCCUCGCUUGUUGUUGUUUUUACUGUAACAUACUAAACAUGCGCUUUUUCAGUCCAAAGGUUUUCAAAUUGGGGUUUCCAAACAGGCAGAACAACCCUAACCUUGUAUGAGUUGCCAAAGACCUGAUAGCUGUGAGGGGGUAAAACUGAUCAAGUGGGGACAAAAAGAGAAAUGCUUCUUCACAUCUGUCUUUAGUUCUUUUAAGCUAUGUAUUGGUGCUGUUUAUUCAGUUUAUCCUACUGUAAUAAAUGCUCACUUGCAGGAGUCAUGUGUUUGUAGAAAAAUGAGCUGUAAUGUGUUCUGGGAGGAGUGAAAUGCAGUUCAUGAAUGUGAUAUUUGCCUGUAAGCUUUAUACAACUGUGUCCUUCUGUUUAAGUGUGAAAUAAAAUGAAUAUGAUGAUAAAGUGA